UACAGAGGGGGCUAGCGUUGUUCGGAAUUACUGGGCGUAAAGGGCGCGUAGGUGGCCUGUUAAGUCGAACGUGAAAUCCCCGGGCUCAACCCGGGAACUGCGUCCGAGACUGGGAGGCUAGAAUCCGGGAGAGGGAUGUGGAAUUCCAGGUGUAGCGGUGAAAUGCGUAGAUAUCUGGAGGAACAUCGGUGGCGAAGGCGGCAUCCUGGACCGGUAUUGACGCUGAGGCGCGGAAGCCAGGGGAGCAAACGGG
Molecule: ribosomal RNA, 253 nt
Filed under: uncultured bacterium
Lineage: Bacteria
Description: partial 16S ribosomal RNA
Rfam family: Bacterial small subunit ribosomal RNA
Source: RNAcentral